GGCUAGUGCCCACUCCUCCCGCUCGGCUGGAGGCCCAGGGCGGGCCAGGCCCUCUGCAGAGGCACACCCGCCCCCAAGCCCAGGUCUCCUGCCUCCUCUCCACUUUGCUAAAUGCUCAGAUUAAGGCUCCUCCCUCGAAGCAAUUGUCCAUCCCUACACCCGUCUCAUGGAUACAUAAGAGUGCAUCUCAUGAAUAUUUUAUUUUAGCAAUGACCAAGGUCAAACUCUUCAGAAGAAAACUGAGACAAAGAAAAUGAACAGCUCGGCCCCUGUCACAGGGUAGAACGGGAGCAAAACCGAAGUCCCCUCUGCCCCAGCUAAGAGCCCUGUCCACUCUUUUUGUGACUUUAGCACUUACUCAUGUAGCCGCAGCAUCGCUGCCACCGACCCGCGUCCCAGAAGAAUCCCUGUGUUCAGUUCCGUGGAGCCUCCCCACCCGAAGAGCACAGGGGCUCCUUGAGGGCAGGGACGGAACCUUUCACGCCCUUGGCUUGCAUGGAGUGAGAAGACAGAGCAAAGGACAGCCGGAUUUAAUUAGCUAAAUCUCAGCUCAGACAGCACCAGAUCCUUCCCCCCGGCCACCUCCCACUGCCCCAGCAAUCUCAGCCGGCACACGUCUCCUGAUUGCAUUUCCAGGUCCUCCCGUGCCUUUGAUGAACUUCUGUGUUUUUCAGCCGCUGAAACGGCAGAAGCAGCCAUUGUGUUGCCCCAGGUGGGAAAUAGCGCUGUAGGGAACAGGCAGUUAAUAAGCUUAACAGGUAGGGACAGAGGCUCGUUAAUGGUUGCUCUGUGAUUUGUGGCUAGUUCCUCCCAGCCCCUAAAUCUUGAAAUAAAUAUAUUCAGAGACUUCGUUAUCCCAGAAGAGGAUGUGGAUCAUUUUUCUUUCAUUAACAACGGAGCCACCACAGCAACGUGUGUAUUAUCCGUGCAUUUCCAAGCCCAGAAGCUUGUCCCUUUAAAGCUGCUUGCACUGAAGUUUGAUCAGCCUUUGAUGAAAGAAGACUUACAGAUAGCAGACAACCUGGUAACCAUCUGUGCCCAAUGCAUAUUAAAAGAGAUGUAAACUCACCAAAGCUUCCCAGCAUAUAUCAGUUUAUCCACUCCAGGGAAGACAGAGGAUGAUUAGAUAAUCUGGGACCAAAUCUCUGGACUCAGCAGGGCCAUGUUAAUGAGGAACUUUGCUGAAGUGAACAGCAGGCGGGUACCCUCAAGAAAGGAAAUUUCUGGAUGGAGGGUGUCUCCAACUUUUCCUCUUUCUGGUUAUCUCUCUGACGUGGUAGACGCUUAGGGAUGUCUCUGUCCAACCACAAGACCACACACACAUCCCUGAGCCCUAACAGGUGUGGGUCCAGGCAGCUACGUCAUUACAUCCUAUGACCCUCUGUGACCACCUUCCCCGGCGCCUCAUGUCCAUACAUCCUUGGAGAAGCUUUUGGCCCAGGCUGAGAGGCGUCUUCUGCAAUCGGAACUCAGGGCAUCACCAUAUCCUCCGUCUGACAAUCCGCUCUGACCAUCUCAACUGCUCAGAUAUUUUUCUGUGACUUUGGAAUGGACGCGGAGAGGACCAACUCAGACGUUUGAGAAACAUCCUUGUAACGUUGGGAGUGGAAGGGGCGGCAUCUUCUGCCACGUGCUGGGAGAAACAGCCAAGGCUGGUGCGGCGGAAGAACAAAAACAAAUCGGCUCAGCCCUCAGCUCUUGGAAGGAUCCGAGCAGCUGCAGAAGCGCCAGGUCUCAGGAUUCAAAAGUCCCACCAAC
Long non-coding RNA from Bos taurus (domestic cattle), 1758 nucleotides. NCBI's taxonomy places the organism in Eukaryota, Metazoa, Chordata, Mammalia, Artiodactyla, Bovidae. The record is from Ensembl.